This is a long non-coding RNA of Gorilla gorilla gorilla (western lowland gorilla), 272 nucleotides long. RefSeq lists it as uncharacterized. The transcript has 3 exons. The record is from RefSeq and is a predicted model, not a curated record. Lineage: Eukaryota; Metazoa; Chordata; Mammalia; Primates; Hominidae.
ACAUUUCAAGCUACGUUGUGAAAAUGCGGUAAGAGAAAGACGAUCAAGUACUGCUGGUCAUUGAAAACAUGGGAGUAGGUACUUCCAGGACCAUUGGAUCCUCAGGCUGAAUGGAUUUCAGGGUAGCUGCGACUCGUCAAAGUGUGUGCCACAGGAUGUCUGCAUAAAGCUGACAAGAUCCAUCUUUCAUUCCCUCAUAACUUUGGGAUUUACAGGAUAAGAUGCUGCCAUACACAUUCUACAGCCAUGGCUUCCAGCCCCUGCACUUGAUG